UGAGGAAUAUUGGACAAUGGGCGCAAGCCUGAUCCAGCCAUGCCGCGUGGAUGAUGAAGGCCUUAGGGUUGUAAAAUCCUUUCGCCGAGGACGAUAAUGACGGUACUCGGAGAAGAAGCUCCGGCUAACUUCGUGCCAGCAGCCGCGGUAAUACGAAGGGGGCUAGCGUUGUUCGGAUUUACUGGGCGUAAAGGGCGCGUAGGCGGCAAUUCAAGUCAUCUGUGAAAUCUCCGGGCUUAACUCGGAACGGUCAGAUGAUACUGCUUUGCUAGAGUGCAGAAGGGGCAAUCGGAAUUCUUGGUGUAGCGGUGAAAUGCGUAGAUAUCAAGAGGAACACCUGAGGCGAAGGCGGGUUGCUGGGCUGAUACUGACGCUGAAGCGCGAAAGCUAGGGUAGCAAACGGGAUUAGAUACCCGGGUAGUCCCUGAGCGGGCUGGCAAGGCGCAU
RNAcentral lists this ribosomal RNA (447 nucleotides) under uncultured bacterium. Its description in RNAcentral is "bacterial SSU rRNA". It matches the Rfam family "Bacterial small subunit ribosomal RNA", at positions 355 to 825 of the family's 1533-position model. The record is from RNAcentral.